GUAUAGUAUUACACGUUCAGUCUCUGGAAUGAGGGCAGUCAUGGCCCUUUCCUUUGUGUUGUUCCGACCACACCAAGAGAAGAAGCCAUGCUUUGGAAGGAAAAAAGAAGAUCAGGAAAAUGCUCUUACAGGAUGGAGUCAUAAAGAUGAAGGCACUGGAAACUGUGGUGUGAGGAACCAGUGGGGUUUCGAGGUGAUCUUAAAGGCCAUGUAAAGCUGGCUUCCGCUGGGCUGUCCUGUAGAAGAGAAGUUAGAUAUGCCAGGAGAGGAUUGCAUCUCUCUUUUUAUCUGCUGCUCUCAGUGAGGCUCCAACACCAGUGAUGCAGUCAUCUCACUGAAGUUGGUUUUCUCCAGGAGAAGCUGAGCCAAAUGGAAUCCACCAAGCCCAGCCGCAGCCGGAAGCCCUACUCCUCCCUUACCUUGCCCAGCCUCAAAAAUACAGAAUCUGGAUCCCCCGGACUGACUCCUUCUUCCUUCUCCUCCUCCUCCUCUUUCUCUCUCUCUCUCUAUAAAUAUAAAUAUAUAUAUGUAUAGAUAUACUACAUCCAUAUAUAUAUAUAUAUAUUUUGAGACAGGUUCUGGCUCUGUCACCCAGGCUGGAGUGCAGUGGUGUGAUCUCAGCUCACUGAACCACCGCCUCCUAGGCUCAAGCCAUCCUCCCACCU
This 665-nucleotide long non-coding RNA is filed under the name Homo sapiens (human). Its description in RNAcentral is "HSALNT0048310". The record is from RNAcentral. Lineage: Eukaryota; Metazoa; Chordata; Mammalia; Primates; Hominidae.